GGAAACCAAGGCAAACAGGGACUAUUCCUGGUGCCUGGGUGUCAUCGAACACUGUGCAAAGAGUGAGAGAAAACAAGACUGUCAGCAUGUACCUGAACGCAUGAAGCACACGGGAAAGGCAUCACUGACGGGGAAAGUGGACGCACCACCUCCCUCCCUUUCCAUCAGAGCUGGGGGACUCUGGGUGUGGAAGACGGACAGUCCACAGACUGGCUUCUGGUUGGCUCCCAGGCAUCCUUAUCUGAAUGCUGUUAGAACCCUUGUGGUUCACGAAUAAAACAGAGUAUCACUGAGCUAAGAAAUGAUGAAUGGGAAGAAUACAGAAGACAUCUAUUGCAUGAGCUGAUGCAGACUUAAGAAAGGAAAACCUGGAAAAGAAGAAGGGGGAAGGUACCCCAAGGAUCCUUGGUGGGGAUGGACCUCUGUUCUAGCCCCUUCCAGAGCACACAAUGACUACAAGUAGAAAGAAUCAAAAAGAAAAGAAAGUCAACUCCAUUUAAUUGAAGAAACUCAAGUCCAUCAAUCAAUCAAUAUUUAUUAAGCACAUACAAUGUGCCAGGCUCUGGGACUGCCUUAGGCUCUAAGGAUCUAAGUACAAAGAAUGGAGGAAACAAUAAGGAAAUAUAUAAGUACAUGCAGCAUAAGUAUAAAGUGAAUAAAUACCAAUAAAUAUGAAAAUUGUAUCUUCCUCUAUUUAUUGGGCAAGCAGGGACCUGUGGGUGUGGAACGCUGCAUAUAUGGUCAGACUCAGUUGAUUUGUUGGUUAAUUUCAUAGAACUGGCUUUCCCUCCCUUUUUUCUUUUCUUUUUAUUUGUUGGUACAAAGUAUGGCACCUGGGCUGGGGAAAGGGGAAGCAGGGAUCUAUUUGGAAAUGGAGAUAUUUUCUAAAAAAUAAUUUUUUAAAGUCAGAAUCCAUUAGCCCAUCCUCUAGACCAGACCCCCAAUGACACUGAGCACAGCCUGCUUUGCCAGCCAGUGUCCUUUCUUUGAGCUCCAGCCCCAGGGGAUCUGGAGCUCUGGCCACUAGAGGGAGACAGGAGAGCUGGAAAUAGAGCUUCAGGAGGAGGGUGAGGGGAGAGUAGGGGAGGAAGAGGAUUCUGUCAUCUUGGCUGGAAACAGCCUGCCCAGAAUGGCAGACAAAAGAGGCUAGAUUUGAGCCAGUAACCAGGGUUUUUGAGGGUCUUUGAGCUGAGAAAGGACCACUGAACCUUAGGAAAAGUGAGGUCAUAGAUCAAGGGAGCCCAGAAAUUAGAGCUGGAAGAUCCCUUCAAUAUCAACUAGUCUGACCCCUUGUUUUACAAAUGGGGAAACUGAGGUCUAGAAUGCAAACGUGACUCAGCUAGGGUCACACAGGAUCCAAAUUCAUUGCCAUUCAGAAUGGACUAUUCACUCAAUAAAUCAAUACGUUUAAGCAACUAACGUGUGCCAUGUCCCCGGUCAGGAUUGGCAGGAUUGGGGGUACAAAGACAAAAGAGAGAAAAUGAAACAAAAGCUCCUAGCUCCCCCUCCCGAUUCCCCCUGCAUAUGCCAUGCAUGCCCCUCCCCAUAAACACUCAGGCGUCCUUGGUCUUGGGGGCCUUCCAACCCUGGGAACUCUGCUGCCCGAAGGAAAAAAAUACUGUAAACAGCAAAACCUCAGAAGCUCCUGCUGCCCACGUCACCAGUCUGUCCUCCAAAGCCGGCCGGCAGCCCAGCAUCUUGGAAGGCCAAAAAUUCAGGAGAAUGGGAAUGAAGAGGCCCAGCAACCUCAAAAACUCAGGAGUCCAAAGGCCUGGAGAAGCAGAGCCCUAGGAUCCCGGGACCCCAGAGACCUGGGAGUCUAAAGACCCAGGGAUCCAGUGACUCAGGACCCCAAAUACUGAGGAGCCCAGAGAGAGGCUCAGGAGCCCAAUGACCCAGAAGAGGAGGAAUUCAGACGGCCAAAAACAUUUGGUGCCUGGAACAAGGGAUUCAUAAGCCUAGAGGAAUGGAGAAGUCCAAAGGCAAGGGAACCCAGACACUCAGGAACCCAGAUACCCAGGAACCCAGACACUCAGGAACCCAGAUAGUCAGGAACCCAGAAACCUGGGAGCUCAGGAUGACCAGGAACUUAAAGAUCUGAGAGUGCAGAGGCCCCAGAUCUAACAGACUCGGGAGCCCAGAGGGCCAGAAGCAACAUAAUAACUCAGGAGUCCUGAGGCCCAGAGGCUCAGAAAUCCCAGAAUUCAGAAGCCCAGGAUGCAGAGACCUGAGAACUCAAGGGCCCAGGAGCUAAAAGAACUCAGUUGUUGGUUUCAAUCAUUUUGGGGGGCCUGGGAUUGCAGCACCAUCCCCCAUCCCACUUACUGUCUGAGAUAGGAAAAGAAGAUGCCAGGUCAUGGGCCCUGAGGGCUUUCUGCCUCUCCCAGGGUCUAGCCUGGUGGCACCUCCCACAAACCAGCCAGACACACUUCUAAGCAGCCAGCUCUGAGAGCCAAUCUGGGGGGGGGGGUGGAGAUUCAGGGCACAUUUACUACCCCAAAAGGCCCAUAGGAUGGGAGUAGGGGAGGGUUAGCCAAAUCAAUCCAACAAGCAAUUAUGAAGUGUCCAUAUGUGCAGGAUUCUGGGGACACAAACUGGAAAAUGUGCCCCGUGGUCCUUCAGGGCUCCCUGUCUUCACUGGUCUGCUUUUCUUUCUCUUUCCACAUCUUUCUCUAUUUUUCUUUUCGUUUUGGUGAGUCAAUCAGGGUUAA
Long non-coding RNA from Phascolarctos cinereus (koala), 2711 nucleotides. RefSeq lists it as uncharacterized. NCBI's taxonomy places the organism in Eukaryota, Metazoa, Chordata, Mammalia, Diprotodontia, Phascolarctidae. The record is from RefSeq and is a predicted model, not a curated record.